ACUCCUACGGGAGGCAGCAGUGGGGAAUAUUGCACAAUGGGCGCAAGCCUGAUGCAGCAACGCCGUGUGAGUGAAGAAGGUUUUCGGAUCGUAAACUCUGUCCUAAGGGAAGAAACAAAUGACGGUACCUUAGGAGGAAGCCCCGGCUAACUACGUGCCAGCAGCCGCGGUAAUACGUAGGGGGCAAGCGUUUAUCCGGAAUCACUGGGCGUAAAGGGUGCGUAGGCGGCUUAGCAAAGCCAGGGUGAAAGGCAUUGGCUCAACCAAUGUAAGCCUUUGGAACUGUUAAGCUUGAGUGCAGGAGAGGUAAGUGGAAUUCCUAGUGUAGAGGUGAAAUUCGUAGAUAUUAGGAGGAACACCAGUGGCGAAGGCGACUUACUGGACUGUAACUGACGCUGAUGCACG
RNAcentral lists this ribosomal RNA (405 nucleotides) under uncultured bacterium. RNAcentral describes it as "bacterial SSU rRNA". It matches the Rfam family "Bacterial small subunit ribosomal RNA", at positions 335 to 755 of the family's 1533-position model. The record is from RNAcentral.